AAAUCAUUUUGGGUACAAUUCCUUAUUAAUCCCUUGUAUCUCUCCCAUGCCUCAUAUAGUGACUCACCCGGUUGUUGCUCAAAGUUUGCUAUGGAAUUCUUGAGUUU
This is a small nucleolar RNA of Lactuca sativa (garden lettuce), 107 nucleotides long. The record is from RefSeq and is a predicted model, not a curated record. NCBI's taxonomy places the organism in Eukaryota, Viridiplantae, Streptophyta, Magnoliopsida, Asterales, Asteraceae.